GGGAAGGUGGCUCAGUGGUAGAGCACUUGCCUUGCAUGCAUGAGGCCCUGGGUUC
This is a non-coding RNA of Dipodomys ordii (Ord's kangaroo rat), 55 nucleotides long. The record is from Rfam. NCBI's taxonomy places the organism in Eukaryota, Metazoa, Chordata, Mammalia, Rodentia, Heteromyidae.